ACUUUGAUGAAUUCAAGUGUGCAUUUUAUACAAAGGAUCAAGUGGACGAAAUCAAAGAGGAGUGGUGUCAAUUCAUGAUAAAGCUGUGUAAUUAAUGUGUACAUUUGUAGUAUAUGUUAUGACUUGUAAAUGUGUACAUAAAUUUGUAUAUAUUUUGAUACAUUUAAGGCAAAAUUGGUUUGAAUUGGUAUAUAUAUAUUUGUUA
This 205-nucleotide long non-coding RNA is filed under the name Lathyrus oleraceus (garden pea). Its description in RNAcentral is "Pisum sativum (pea) long non-coding RNA (PSAT_LNC026496)". Lineage: Eukaryota; Viridiplantae; Streptophyta; Magnoliopsida; Fabales; Fabaceae. The record is from RNAcentral.